Molecule: long non-coding RNA, 1320 nt
Filed under: Phasianus colchicus (ring-necked pheasant)
Lineage: Eukaryota; Metazoa; Chordata; Aves; Galliformes; Phasianidae
Description: lncRNA (ENSPCLG00000007248.1)
Source: RNAcentral
GCAAGCUUCUUUAGCGCAUUCACAUCUUCAAACUAUGUGAAACAGCUUAAGAUGUAACACUUAUCCCCAGUUAUUAUUCUUGAUUCUUCUCACUCUGGGCUGAAACAGAAAAAGAAUGGUUUCUGCAGAAAGGCUCAAGUCAAAGGAGCAAACAGGCCAAAACAGGAAGAAAGAAACUUCACUGACUGUGGACAGCAAGACCAAGUAUUUCUGGGAGGUCACACUGCUGAUUAAGAUGUCUCACCUGCCUAAUAUUUCUCAGCUAAAUUGGAUGAAGCAUGAAGCAAGUCUUACAAAAAGUAUGUCUGCUUCCCCCACAGCACAACCUUGAAAAACACAUCUUAUUUCUAACAUACAUCUCAAGUUUCUGAGCUUCUAACAAUGCUGAGCAAAUAAGAUUCAGGUGGUUCUAAACCCUUCUUGAUGCCUUGUGCUGGCUGCAUUUUCAAAGCCAUUAGUUCCAUAACUCCAGCCAUGCCGCAGCCACUGGGGGCAAUGACUGCAAAGACGACAGGCCAAGCUCAGAAACCUUGCAUUCAGUGCACAAAAAACGUGGCUGCAUGCAGACUGUCUACUUAAAUACAUCUUAGCACAAAACAUUAUAGGCUGAGAGUUUCAACACAUUCCAACAAAAACUUGUGUCAAAAUCUUUGGGCUUCAGAAGGAGCCGAUUAGCUGGGCUUCUUUAGAUGCCUUUGAAAAUCUGUGAUUUAAUAAUUACACUCUUCAUCAUUUUUAUCUCUCUAUAUACGUAUGUAUGUAUAAAUACAUACACACAGCGUGCUCUUAACUGCCGUGCUGCUCCACACUCAGGUUAGCCUGCCAUCCUGCGGCUACAAGGAAAACAACGCUCUGUUUAACCUAACAUCUGUACACCGUCUGGAUGCACGCAAGCAUGCUAAUGUCUAUAUUAUAAUUUAGGCAAAAACAAAACAGCUCUUGAGCAAUGCAGACAAUUAUUUCACUUAAUUAGAUGUGGUGGGGUCUUGUAUGCUGAUUAGACAAGCUGGUAUAGAAUUGUAAAGGCAAACCAGCGUUACAAAUUAAGCAAAAUUAUUGUUAACUAAACUGCAGCAGGUAAUACUUUGCUCAAAACUGUAUCAGUAUCUAAUCUGAAAUAAGAAUUGCCAGGAUAGCUCUAGUAGGCAUUCUCAUAUUUUCAUGUUAACUAUUAGUUAGAUUUCUUCCAUAGGAAACAACCCACUCCUGCUGCAAGAGUAAAACUUCCAUGCAGUGGACAAGAGAAAAAAAAAGUCCCAUCAUACAGGAAGAUGAACGACUAAAGGAAUUACUUUUGCUCAAGCACACAGGAAUAGCAAG